AACAUGCUGCUGCUUCCCUUACUCAUUGUGACUUCAUUUUGGUCCCGUGGAGAUGCACAGGCUGCACCGGUGCAAAGCCCGGCAGAGCGCACGCUGGUGGCGGGCAGCUCAGUCUCCAUGACAUGCCAGCUGAGUAGUGACAACACUGUGCACUGGUACAGGCAGCUUCGCGGGGAGCCACCCAAAAGGAUACUGUACAUGUCUGGGUACUCACCUACCUUUGAUAAAAGCAUCGAUAGAAUGAAGUUUCAAGCCCAGAAAAAUCCUUCCAACUGUGUUCUGACAAUAAAGAAAGCCACCCAGAGGGAUACCGGUACUUACUACUGUGCAUACUGGAAUUAUCCAAAAUACCCAGCAUUAGAUGAGCAAUGAUAAGCUGUGCAAAAAGGCAUUUGGCACUCUGAACCUCUAGCUAUGAACUCGUACCACGUGCAGAUACUUCUUUAUCCCCCAUUUCUCUGGUGAUUUUCUGCAGCAGGAUAGGAAAAGCAAAAGAUGAACUUGGCCAGUGUGUAAUGGAAUAUGUCAAUUAAUAAUCUGAAUAUUUUUCUGUACUUACAAGUACCUCUAACAUGAAGAAACUGCAGGUUCUCAGUCACAGAAGGUUAAAACUCAGUGGCUUUACUGUUAUGGUGAAGAGCUGACUGUACUCAGAGCAUUCACCUUACAGUGAACACAGUCUGUGCCUGCGAACAACAAGGAGUUGUAAAUUUCCCGUUUAUUAAAAUCCAUGGAGCGAGCAGAGAAACAUAUCUCAUUUCCCUUGAGUCCCUCACUUGAAUGGAGACACAUGUGAAACAAUGAGACAAAACUACGUGAUAUUCUAGAUCCUCCUUCAUUUUUCUUCUGCUGCCUUCCCUUGCAGUUCAGUUAUUACCAACUCCUUCUCCAGCCCUGAAAGACCCAUUUUAUUGUCUCACCUGAUGAAACCAGACUGAACUUAACUCUUCUUCCAUGGCCUGGUCUCCAACAUUCCCUUUGAGCAAAGUGCAUUGACUUCUAAAACUCAGGGACUACACUCAAAGCCUCUUUUCACCAUCCAAGGAAAGCUGGUGUUUGUCUGACAGUUAGCUCCAAAAUCUGAGUACUG
Non-coding RNA from Coturnix japonica (Japanese quail), 1090 nucleotides. Lineage: Eukaryota; Metazoa; Chordata; Aves; Galliformes; Phasianidae. The record is from the annotation of a RefSeq genome assembly.